CAGUAGCCGCGGUAAUACAGAGGGUGCGAGCGUUAAUCGGAUUUACUGGGCGUAAAGCGUGCGUAGGCGGCUUUUUAAGUCGGAUGUGAAAUCCCUGAGCUUAACUUAGGAAUUGCAUUCGAUACUGGGAAGCUAGAGUAUGGGAGAGGAUGGUAGAAUUCCAGGUGUAGCGGUGAAAUGCGUAGAGAUCUGGAGGAAUACCGAUGGCGAAGGCAGCCAUCUGGCCUAAUACUGACGCUGAGGUACGAAAGCAUGGGGAGCAAACAGGAUUAGAGACCUCUGUAGUCCCUGUCUCUUAUAU
This 301-nucleotide ribosomal RNA is filed under the name uncultured bacterium. RNAcentral's name for it is "partial 16S ribosomal RNA". It matches the Rfam family "Bacterial small subunit ribosomal RNA", at positions 509 to 809 of the family's 1533-position model. The record is from RNAcentral.